UGGGGAAUAUUGCACAAUGGGCGCAAGCCUGAUGCAGCCAUGCCGCGUGUGUGAAGAAGGUCUUCGGAUUGUAAAGCACUUUAAGUUGGGAGGAAGGGCAUUAACCUAAUACGUUAGUGUUUUGACGUUACCGACAGAAUAAGCACCGGCUAACUCUGUGCCAGCAGCCGCGGUAAUACAGAGGGUGCAAGCGUUAAUCGGAAUUACUGGGCGUAAAGCGCGCGUAGGUGGUUUGUUAAGUUGGAUGUGAAAGCCCCGGGCUCAACCUGGGAACUGCAUCCAAAACUGGCAAGCUAGAGUACGGUAGAGGGUGGUGGAAUUUCCUGUGUAGCGGUGAAAUGCGUAGAUAUAGGAAGGAACACCAGUGGCGAAGGCGACCACCUGGACUGAUACUGACACUGAGGUGCGAAAGCGUGGGGAGCAAACA
Molecule: ribosomal RNA, 427 nt
Filed under: uncultured bacterium
Lineage: Bacteria
Description: partial 16S ribosomal RNA
Rfam family: Bacterial small subunit ribosomal RNA
Source: RNAcentral